UUUGGUCAUUUUAGUUUUUGAGUGCUAUUUUUGUGAUAGAAACUUAGAAAUGUGCUAUUUUGGAGAUUUGCCCAAAAAUUUAUGUUUUUUCUAUUUUAAAUAUUUACGAAUGUACGACAAAAAAAUACAUAAAAUAUUGUUUAAAAUUAUAUAAAUGAAAAAACACAGAAAACAUAUAUUUAAUUAAUCAUAAUUUUUUUAUGAGAUUUAAUAUUUUAGUUGGUUAAGUUAAUAUUGUAAAACCAAAAUUGAUUUCAGUAAAUUUCAGAUUACAUAUGUCAAACUAUUGCAAAAUCUACUUAGGAAAAUAGGGCGGUAUACUAAUGAAUCUGCUAAAUCCAUACUGCUAAAAUCCAAAAUACUUAAAUGCCCGUAGAAUUUUUUGGUAAACAAUAAAUUAGAUUUCUACAUUACCCUUUUUAUGCGUUGCUGAGUUAGUAAAAAAAAUGUAAUUGCUGAGAUGAUGAUGGUGAGAAACCGCAAUAAAUUAUGGUUUUAACUUUUAUCAAAACCAAAGAAACAGCAUUAAAUUAUAGUGCAAACUGACGAAUUAACUAGUCUGGUCAUGGGUAACGUAAACUAAUUAAAGUUAUACUAAUCUAGGAGAAUGGAUAACUAAAGUUUCUGCCAAACUCUACUACACAGAUAUUAACGAUUUCUGCCAACCCUCUAUAUAUCUAUACUAUAUUAAAAGGGAUAUAUGAGCUCCAUUAAGCCUAUCCACCUCAGCAUAAAAAAUUAUCCAAUUAAAACAUAAGUAAUUGACACAUCAGAUGACACAUCCUAUUUUCUUCAAUCGACGACCUUUCUUCCAAAAAGUUAUUGUUUCCCUUUCGUAUUCCCUUCUGAACCCUUCUUCCAACUUCAAUUAUAUCCCAGCUCCAAUCAAUCGAUUCCUCGCCUGCCUCAUCUUCAUCCUCCAAUGGCAAGGGUUGAUUGCUCGAACCUAGCUCGAAGCUCUUCCCCUUCUUUUCCUUACUACCGUGAUUGGAACUUCGGUGUUGAUUCCAAUCUAAAGCCUAAGAUAUGUAUCACGACUAGCACAUCAGCUGGAUUGGAUCAGAUUCUACCGUGGAUGUUCUACCAUAAGGUUCUUGGCGUAUCCACGUUUUUUCUUUUUGUAUAAGGGAAAGCUGCUACGCCCACCAUUUCUAAAGUUCUCGAGUCUAUUCCUGUGAGUUCUAGCUUCUUAGACUCUUAGUCCUCUAGGUGUUUGUUGACUAAGAUAAUUAUAUGCCCGGAUUUUUAAAAUUAAGAUUACUCCAUUAUCACUGAAUAAAGCUAAAACGAGUGAAAAACUAUGCAUCUAAAGGUAAAAAUAAAUUAAUGACAAUCCUAAUUUUUCUUGGUUCUCUUAAACUGAAACGCUUCAUCUAUUCCUUUUCCUCCUGCGAAAAUUUUUGUUUUUUGGUAUCAUACAUUUUAACUUACAAAAUUGCUUCCUUUUUGUCUUUUAGUAGGCUUAGAAGAAGCAUAAAAAUGAUGGUGUAAAACCGAAGAGACCAUAAAAAAAGGAGGAGGAAGAUAGAAAAAAGACAUGGAGAAGUCAAAGAAAGGAUAAAAGGUAAAAGUGAUUCCUUUGUUUAUUGCUGUGUUUUUCUACCGUUAGAUAUCCACUCCUUAUCAUCACAGUUUAUGCAGUCUAUAGUGCAUGGAGUUAAGUUAGAUGAUGUUGCUCGGUUACUGAAUCGUGCUCGCAACUACUCAGCUGUGUGCUUACAUGGCUUAUAUCAGCCGAGAAUAUAAGAAAAGGUAAUACGUUUUAUUUCUUCUUUGAAGUGCAUGUCUCUCUAUCUUUAUUAGUUAAGUAGAUACUCAUAAGCAAGAAAAACGUAUAUUGAGUUUUCUGGUCCUUCCAGAAAAGUAUGGAGAAUGAGAUGUUAGGUGAAGCUUUUAAGAAGCUUCAGAACCCAUAUGAGAUAGUGAUUGUGGUUCAUCAUUUGUAUCGGCGCAUCAAGUUCAUCCAUCUCUGAUCUCCCUAGCUGUUUCUAUUGGGGGUAAGUCUUGAUAUUUGUUUGUUUUUUUCCAUUCACAAGAGAAUAGUUGAGUUUGCGAAGUGAUCCUUUUGAUGAUUGCACUCAGAAGGACUUAAACAAGCCACUGAUUAUUGCAGCCAAAACCAACAUGGAGGUGUUGUUAGAGGUGGUUGAGGAAGAGGCCAAGCUGGUGGUGGCAAAGCCGCAAAGACAAUAAAGGUGGCCUAGCUAAAUAUUGUCGUGUCUAAAAUUGAGAUUGAAAAAUGGAAUAAAAAGUUCUAACAUGGUAUUAGGAAGAACGUGUAGAUAACAAAAACUGAAGGUUUUCUACAUUUGUGGAUCAUCGGGUGAACACGCUCCUGUCUCUAGGAGUAUCCGGAGCUAAAUCCUUUGUUGCUCAGAUUUGUGCAAUGAUCUUUUUUUGUAAUUCAGUGGCUACAUGAGAGUUUUUUCUGAUUGACUCAGAGUUUAGAGUCUACAACGAGUGUACGGUAGGAGACGGUAAUGAUGAUAGAGCUGAAUGAUAGCGGUGAAUGACUGACUCAUCACACGAUCGGGAAGAAGUAUAAGCUGAAGGCGAACGGUGAAGACGGACCAGUCAUUUUCUUAUGCAAGGAAGACAGGAAUGAUUCCAUCUCCAUCAGUAACUUAACUCUCUUCACACUCAAGAUGGUGUGGUUACAGUUCUCUGUUCUCUCGACUCUUGAGUUGUUAGUUAUCUAAUGGUAAGAUAUUUUCUCUGUAUGUAAACUUGAUCGUCCACGAAUUAACUCUCAUGUAUUUUGGUUUCUAUUUGUCAGAACAGAGUAUGUCGAUGAUUUUAGCCCAUAACAGUUGUCAGUAAAUUGACUUGAUUUACUUUGGUAAAUUAUUUACGUGUUAAGUUCAUCAACUUGACUCAAGUCAUGUACGAUCACACUCACCCACCUAGAACAAGAGAUUCAACAGGCCAAAUCCCAAGAAAAAAAGUCUACAUGUCUUUCCGUAUAAGUAUGUACAUAUAUAAUUAUUUAUUUCACCGAAUAUCUUAAAGUAACUAUUUUGAUUACUGAUGGUUAUAUAGUUAGGGCCAGUGUUUUGAAACCCGACCCGGAUCCGCGGUUGAACCGGUAAACCCGGUGAUCCAGAAAAAAUCCGGUUUGAGUUUUGUGAAAAAUCCAAUAUUUAGAAACCUAAAACCCGAAAAAACCCACUAAAACCCGGAACCCGAUACCGGUUGAACCACUGGUUAAACCAAUAAAUAACUUUUACGUCAUUUUUUUUAGUUUUUAGAUUAUGUUUUAUAUUCUAAGUUUCCAAUUAAGAAGUUUGACAAAAAAAAAAGUUAGGCAUUUCGUUUUCAGUUUUAUAUAUGUGAUUUUUAGAUUUUGGUGAAAACUUCACUAUGCCACUUGAAGAAAAUGAAGUGAACAAGGGUAGAGAGAACUAAAAUUAGUUGAUGUGAUUUGGUGUUAGUUUAUUUCUACUAUUGACAAUUUAUUACAAUGAUCUUUUACUUUUGGUUUAUUUUUAAUUUGAAGUUUAAUUUAUUAUUCACAUUAGAUAUUUAAAUAUUUAAGAAUUUUAUAUCUUGACUUUUUUAGAUUCAGAAAAUUUUAAAUAAUCUAAACUAUAUUUUGAUAUUUUGUAUGUCAAAGAAAAAUAAAAAUAUAAAAAUUAAAGUUAAGUAUUUUCUAAAUACUUUUUAAACAUAAUAUAUAUAUAUAUAUCUAAACUAUUAUUUUAUGUUUUAAAAAACAUUUAAAAUAUAUAGUAAACUUUUUUUUUUUCAUAGAUAAUAUAUUAUUAUAUAAUAAAAUUAAUUCAUUUAUAAAUCCGCGGUUGACCCAAUGACCCAUCGACCCGGUAAGUCGUCCGGUUCAGUGUCCGGAUCGGGUUUAAAAACAUUGGUUAGGGCGUAUUCAUUGGAGUGUCUCUCCUAGGAGGAGAUCAACAGCAACGUGGACUACCCAUUGGUCCUGGCAAUAUCAGUUCUGGUACAUAACAGUUUCAUUUAUAUGACUGAAAAAUCCGUAGAUUAAAAAAACUGAAAAUUUGUGAACAAAUGAGGAAAUGCAAUGCAAAGCAGCAGAAGUGGUGUUUGAUAUAGAAUACACGAGCUGGCUGAAGGAAAAACAGAGGUUGUUUAAUUAAGUGUGGCGACUCAAGAGCACCUGACCAGGAGCGAGCUUAGGAUGUUUUUUCUCUCCAUAUUUUUUUUUGCAGAGAUUUAUGUCUGCGAAAAUGGAGAAAAUAGAAUGAUUCAGAAGAUAAUCUACAGUUCCAUUCAGAGAAAUGUCGAAGAUCAUGGCUGAUUUGGUGAAUAUUGAGUCUUCAGCUAAGUUCUACUACAAACAAUUUUUUUUCACAAUUUACAACGAUAGUUAUUCUGAUAUUUAAUUCGGGCUGGAUUACAAAUCUUUCAUUUAGUUUUCAAUAACUAAUCGCACAUUUAAUUUUCAGAGCUUUGUGCUAAUGUUGAUGUGUGUGUGCGUGUUGAUCACUUGGACAUGACCAACCUACUUUGUGAUUGAUUUGGAUAUGCACAAGUUCAAUUAUAUCUUUGAGGGAUAGGAUCUAGAUUCAUUUCGUGAAUUACCGAUAUAUUACACUUAUAACUAACAAACAAUGAUGGAGAUUCCAGAUCUUAUCCACUACAAAGAUCACAUAAAGAGAAAAUAAUCAAUCUACUAAUCACCGGGUGAGCAAAGAGACAGGCUACGUUAGAAUACAAUUCUGAAGAAACGAACCACUCCUCAUAUUAUUUAUUUUGUAUUUCAAAGUCAAAGAUAUACUUGGACUCACGUCCUUAUCUUUUAGUACUGUAGGGUAUGAAACUACAUGGGAAAAAUAUGUUUGUUUAUAUUAUGGAUUAAGUACGCAUAUAUAUGAGCUUUGUCGUAGAGGUUUACGUAUUUGUAUUAAAGAGGCAAAAGAAAAAAAAACCAAUGUCCUUUUUGUAAACCAAUGUAACCAGGAUUGCUCCGAAAAUACAUUUGUUCUAUAAAUUUCGUUAAGCAGUGACAGUAAGAGACGACAUAAAGCAAGCAAAUUUUAGGUGAACAAUUGUUUCUAUAUAUAUUUGAAACUAUUUAAGAAAAAAUUAUAUUAUCAAAUUAAAUGGCAUCUGAUAUUGCAUCUAAAGCUGUUUUUAAUUAUUCUCAAAUCUAACACUACAACAUUUUGUAAAGAUGCCAAGCAUUUAUAUUCUAUAGACGAAGAGACCAUCAAUCUUGGACAACAUCUCCUAUGUUCUGGGACACAACCAAACCAAAAACACCACCGAGUAGCACAAAAUAUAGAACUACAAUUUUAAGAUGAAAUAUUAACAAUAUAAUAACACAUAUCGCAUUAAACACUAGAAAAAGAACAAAAAGAAACAAAUAAAACACAUCCACAAUUAGCUUCUUUUUUUUUGGCAACCCACAAUUAGCUUAUAAUCAAAUAUGUCCACUCUAAUUGCUCACCUAAAAUAUAAUAUAAUUACCAGAAAAAUUAUCAAACCCAUCUGAUAUAGGUACAUACCCAAAAAUUACAUUAUCACUUCCAUCUAGAUUAAUAAAUCACACAAACUUCGGAAAAACAUCACAUAAUAAAUCUUAUAAAAAAUAAC
Brassica rapa (field mustard) is the source of this 5568-nucleotide long non-coding RNA. RefSeq lists it as uncharacterized. The record is from RefSeq and is a predicted model, not a curated record. NCBI's taxonomy places the organism in Eukaryota, Viridiplantae, Streptophyta, Magnoliopsida, Brassicales, Brassicaceae.